RNAcentral lists this ribosomal RNA (380 nucleotides) under uncultured prokaryote. RNAcentral's name for it is "bacterial SSU rRNA". It matches the Rfam family "Archaeal small subunit ribosomal RNA", at positions 341 to 725 of the family's 1478-position model. The record is from RNAcentral.
GCGAAAACUUUACAAUGCGAGCAAUCGUGAUAAGGGAACUCCGAGUGCCCGUAAACGCGGGCUGUCCAUCUGCUUAAAAAACAGGUGAAGAAAGGGCCGGGCAAGACCGGUGCCAGCCGCCGCGGUAAUACCGGCGGCUCGAGUGGUGGCCACUAUUACUGGGCUUAAAGCGUCCGUAGCUUGGUUGUUAAGUCUCUUGGGAAAUCUGUCGGCUUAACCGACAGGCGUUUAAGGGAAACUGGCAAUCUAGGGACCGGGAGAGGUGAGAGGUACUCCAGGGGUAGGAGUGAAAUCCUGUAAUCCUUGGGGGACCACCUGUGGCGUAGGCGUCUCACCAGAACGGCUCCGACAGUGAGGGACGAAAGCUGGGGGCACGAACA